Molecule: ribosomal RNA, 253 nt
Filed under: uncultured bacterium
Lineage: Bacteria
Description: partial 16S ribosomal RNA
Rfam family: Bacterial small subunit ribosomal RNA
Source: RNAcentral
UACGUAGGUGGCAAGCGUUGUCCGGAUUUACUGGGCGUAAAGGGCGUGCAGGCGGUCUGUUAAGUUCAGGGUGAAAGCUCCCGGCUCAACUGGGAGAGGUCCUUGGAUACUGGCAGACUUGAGGGAGGUAGAGGAGAGUGGAAUUCCCGGUGUAGUGGUGAAAUGCGUAGAUAUCGGGAGGAACACCAGUGGCGAAGGCGGCUUCCUGGCCUGUUCUUGACGCUGAGACGCGAAAGCGUGGGGAGCGAACAGG